This 253-nucleotide ribosomal RNA is filed under the name uncultured bacterium. Its description in RNAcentral is "partial 16S ribosomal RNA". It matches the Rfam family "Bacterial small subunit ribosomal RNA", at positions 524 to 776 of the family's 1533-position model. The record is from RNAcentral.
UACGGAGGGUGCAAGCGUUAUCCGGAUUCACUGGGUUUAAAGGGAGCGUAGGAGGGCAGGUAAGUCAGUGGUGAAAUCUUCGAGCUUAACUCGGAAACUGCCGUUGAUACUAUCUGUCUUGAAUACCGUGGAGAUGAGCGGAAUAUGUCAUGUAGCGGUGAAAUGCUUAGAUAUGACAUAGAACACCAAUUGCGAAGGCAGCUCACUACGCGAAUAUUGACACUGAGGCACGAAAGCGUGGGGAUCAAACAGG